RNAcentral lists this ribosomal RNA (423 nucleotides) under uncultured bacterium. RNAcentral describes it as "bacterial SSU rRNA". It matches the Rfam family "Bacterial small subunit ribosomal RNA", at positions 355 to 775 of the family's 1533-position model. The record is from RNAcentral.
UAAGGAAUAUUGGACAAUGCCCGCAAGGGUGAUCCAGCCAUGCCGCGUGCAGGAAGACGGCCCUAUGGGUUGUAAACUGCUUUUGCACCAGGGAAAACCCCCUCUCGUGAGAGGGGCUGAUAGUAUGGUGAGAAUAAGCAUCGGCUAACUUCGUGCCAGCAGCCGCGGUAAGACGAAGGAUGCAAGCGUUAUCCGGAUUCAUUGGGUUUAAAGGGAGCGUAGGUGGCCUUAUAAGUCAGUGGUGAAAUCUCGCAGCUUAACUGUGAAAUUGCCAUUGAUACUGUAGGGCUUGAGUACAGAUGCCGUUGGCGGAAUAUGACAUGUAGUGGUGAAAUACAUAGAGAUGUCAUAGAACACCGAUUGCGAAGGCAGCUGACGAAACUGUAACUGACACUGAGGCUCGAAAGUGCGGGGAUCAAACAG